GAACGGGUGAGUAACACGUGGGUUACCUGCCCCGAUGAUUGGGACAACCCGAGGAAACUCGGGCUAAUACCAAAUGUGCCCCCGGCGUGAUGGCCGGGAGGAAAGGAAGCUUCGGCCUCCGCAUCGGGAUGGGCCCGCGGCCCAUUAGCUAGUUGGUGGGGUAAUGGCCUACCAAGGCGACGAUGGGUAGCUGGUCUGAGAGGACGAUCAGCACACUGGGACUGAGACACGGCCAGACUCCUACGGGAGGCAGCAGUAGGGAAUCUUGCGCAAUGCGCGAAAGCGUGACGCAGCAACGCCGCGUGGGGGAAGACGGCCUUCGGGUUGUAAACCCCUUUCAGUUGGGACGAAGCUCCGUGGGUUAAUAGCCCACUGGAGUGACGGUACCUUCACAAGAAGCACCGGCUAACUACGUGCCAGCAGCCGCGGUAAUACGUAGGGUGCAAGCGUUGUCCGGAAUUAUUGGGCGUAAAGAGCGUGUAGGCGGUCCGAUCAGUCCGCUGUGAAAGUCCAGGGCUCAACCCUGGGAUGCCGGUGGAUACUGUCGGACUAGAGUCCGGAAGAGGCGAGUGGAAUUCCUGGUGUAGCGGGUGAAAUUGCGCAGAUUUCAGGAGGAACACCA
This 622-nucleotide ribosomal RNA is filed under the name uncultured bacterium. RNAcentral's name for it is "bacterial SSU rRNA". It matches the Rfam family "Bacterial small subunit ribosomal RNA", at positions 100 to 711 of the family's 1533-position model. The record is from RNAcentral.